UCGGAUAUGGUGUAACGGCUAACAUUGCCGCCUCUCAGUAGUUCAGUGGCUGCAAAUUAAGGCGCCGUGAGUUUGCAGUCACUGAAACUUGCAUCGCGGCAGCUCGGGGUUCGAUUCCCCGUAUCCGAA
This is a non-coding RNA of Multifurca ochricompacta, 129 nucleotides long. The record is from the annotation of a GenBank genome assembly. Lineage: Eukaryota; Fungi; Basidiomycota; Agaricomycetes; Russulales; Russulaceae.